UACAUAUGUAAGUAACAUGAAUUUAAUAAUUAUUAUCCAUGAAUUUUUUUUCACACUAUAAAGCUAACAAAUGAUUCCUAUUUCUAUACUCAAAAAGAAAUAUGGCUAAAGUUUAUAUGGUUAUUUAUACUAUGAUUAUAAUUUUUUCCAUAUUGAAUUAUGUAACAAAUAGCCUUGACUGCAAAACUAAUGGGGAUUGUGAACAACAUCAUGUGUGUCCUAAAGCUGAAGAUAUUCCAAUAUGUGUGUUUGUGGUGUACUUAUCAACAAUGUUAGAGCCCGAGUUUGGGGUUUGUAAAUGUUUCGGGGGAUCCCCGCCGGCCACAAGGCACAAAAGCAGUGGUUUGUGAAUGUAUACAUACUAGGGAUUCCCGCCGGCCACAAGGGGAACGCAUCAAUCAUUUGAUUUGGUUGGCAACAACAUGAAAUAUUUGGAAGCUUAGAAACAAUAUCAUCUUUAAUGGAGGCAUUCCGAAUAAUUUUUCUCUUUUGGACGA
Molecule: long non-coding RNA, 497 nt
Organism: Trifolium pratense (red clover)
Lineage: Eukaryota; Viridiplantae; Streptophyta; Magnoliopsida; Fabales; Fabaceae
Exons: 2
Source: RefSeq, a predicted model, not a curated record